GAGUUUGAUCCUGGCUCAGGAUAAACGCUGGCGGCGUGCCUAACACAUGCAAGUCGAACGCUCUGCGCAAGCAGGGAGUGGCGGACGGGUGAGUAACACGUGGGGAUCUACCUUGAAGUGAGGAAUACCGGCGAGAAAUCGCCGACAAUACCGCAUACGUUUCGCAAGAAACAAAGCUCGCAAGGGCGCUUUGAGAUGACCCUGCGGCUGAUUAGCUAGUUGGUGAGGUCAAAGCCCACCAAGGCGACGAUCAGUAGCUGGUCUGAGAGGACGAUCAGCCACACUGGGAUUGAGAACGGCCCAGACUCCUACGGGGGGCAGCAGUGAGGAAUUUUCGUCAAUGGGGGCAACCCUGAACGAGCAACGCCGCGUGCAGGAAGAAGGUUUUCGGAUCGUAAACUGCUUUUCUGUGGGACGAGCAAGGACGGUACCACAGGAAGAAGCCCCGGCUAACUACGUGCCAGCCGCCGCGGUAAU
RNAcentral lists this ribosomal RNA (477 nucleotides) under uncultured bacterium. Its description in RNAcentral is "bacterial SSU rRNA". It matches the Rfam family "Bacterial small subunit ribosomal RNA", at positions 9 to 524 of the family's 1533-position model. The record is from RNAcentral.